RNAcentral lists this long non-coding RNA (282 nucleotides) under Elaeis guineensis (African oil palm). RNAcentral's name for it is "long non-coding RNA (EGUI_LNC058853)". The record is from RNAcentral. Lineage: Eukaryota; Viridiplantae; Streptophyta; Magnoliopsida; Arecales; Arecaceae.
GAAGUGGAGUAGAGUCGUGGCCAUUACUGUGGCCUGCCAGGGAGUCCAGACCUGUCGACCGAAGCUCGAUUGAAGCAUCUGGCGGAGAGAGGUAGCUAUCCAUCUGAGAGGAGCUCGGAUGUUGCUGGCGAGCCUUCUACCGUUGGGUGUUGUUGGGCGUUAAUACUACAGGCGAGGGCCAUUCAUCGUAGGAGCUCAGUCAAAGGUUUUCCAUAGACGAAGUUCGAUUUCACGCAGAAUUCGGCAACGAGUCAACCGACAGCGGAUGUCGGAUGGUGCUGG